AGGAUUAUAGUUUAAAAAAAACAUUUAAUUUGCAUUUAAAUAAUAUUGAAUUUCAAUUUAUCUUA
Molecule: transfer RNA, 65 nt
Filed under: Tineola bisselliella
Lineage: Eukaryota; Metazoa; Arthropoda; Insecta; Lepidoptera; Tineidae
Description: tRNA-Ala
Source: RNAcentral